AGCGAACGUUAGCGGCGCGCCUAACACAUGCAAGUCGCACGAGAAACGGAGCAAUCCGCGGUACAGUGGCGCACGGGUGAGUAACACGUGGAUGACCUUCCCUGGAGUGGUGGAUAACCUGCCGAAAGGCGGGCUAAUACAGCAUGGGACCACGACGCUUUGGCGAUGUGGUGAAAGCGGGCCUCUAUAUAUAAGCUCGCGCUCCGGGACGGGUCCGCGUCCCAUCAGCUAGUUGGUGAGGUAACGGCUCACCAAGGCAACGACGGGUAGCUGGUCUGAGAGGAUGGCCAGCCACACUGGAACUGAGACACGGUCCAGACUCCUACGGGAGGCAGCAGUGGGGAAUCUUGCGCAAUGGGCGAAAGCCUGACGCAGCGACGCCGCGUGGCGAAGAAGGCCUCGG
This 403-nucleotide ribosomal RNA is filed under the name uncultured bacterium. Its description in RNAcentral is "bacterial SSU rRNA". It matches the Rfam family "Bacterial small subunit ribosomal RNA", at positions 29 to 420 of the family's 1533-position model. The record is from RNAcentral.